RNAcentral lists this ribosomal RNA (253 nucleotides) under uncultured bacterium. RNAcentral's name for it is "partial 16S ribosomal RNA". It matches the Rfam family "Bacterial small subunit ribosomal RNA", at positions 524 to 776 of the family's 1533-position model. The record is from RNAcentral.
UACGUAGGGUGCGAGCGUUAAUCGGAAUUACUGGGCGUAAAGCGUGCGCAGGCGGUUUUGUAAGCCAGAUGUGAAAUCCCCGGGCUUAACCUGGGAAUAGCAUUUGGGACUGCAAGGCUCGAGUGCGGCAGAGGAGACUGGAAUUCCUGGUGUAGCAGUGAAAUGCGUAGAUAUCAGGAGGAACACCGAUGGCGAAGGCAGGUCUCUGGGCUGACACUGACGCUCAUGCACGAAAGCGUGGGGAGCAAACAGG